AACGCACAUUGCGCCCCUUGGUAUUCCGAGGGGCAUGCCUGUUCGAGCGUCAUUAUGACCAAUCACGCCCUGUGCGUGGACUUGGGGGUUCGCGAUUCCGCGUCCCUUAAAAUCAGUGGCGGUGCCGCUGGGCUCUAAGCGUAGUAAUUCUUCUCGCUACAGGGUCUUGCGGUUGCUUGCCACAACCCCAACUUUCUUAGGUUGACCUCGGAUCAGGUAGGGAUACCCGCUGAACUUAA
This 239-nucleotide unclassified non-coding RNA is filed under the name uncultured Leotiomycetes. RNAcentral's name for it is "sequence contains ITS2". The stretch from base 1 to 52 matches the Rfam family "5.8S ribosomal RNA", at positions 103 to 154 of the family's 154-position model. The record is from RNAcentral. Lineage: Eukaryota; Fungi; Ascomycota; Leotiomycetes.